AUAUGCUAGUAUGACAUAUAAACGAUUUAAGUCCUUCUUAAAUGAGGCCAUUUACCCAUAGAGGGUGCCAGGCCCGUAUAACGUUUAUGAUUACUAGAAGAUAUUUCCAAAGAGUCGUGUUGCUUGAUAGUGCAGCACUAAGUGGGUGGUAAACUCCAUCUAAAACUAAAUAUGACCAUGAGACCGAUAGCAAACAAGUACCGUGAGGGAAAGUUGAAAAGAACUCUGAAUAGAGAGUUAAAUAGUACGUGAAACUGCUUAGAGGUUAAGCCCGAUGAACCUGAAUAUCCAUUAUGGGAAAUUCAUCAUUAUAAUCGUGAUAUUUUAAAAAUAUUAUGAGAAUAGUGUGCAUUUUUCCCAUAUAAGGACAUUGUAAUCUAUUAACAAAUAUAUAUUUAUCAAAAGAUCAUUUGCAAAAGUUUAUUUGAAUUAACUUGUUUACAGGUUAACAUUGAAUAAAUGCUUAUGAUUUGAUAAAGUGUUGAUAGAUUUAUUAUAUAUAGUGCUGAAAUUAUUUAUAAUUUUACAAUAAUAUAUUAAUCAUGAUUUUUAUAUUUAUUGUAUGCGCUUAUAUGAUUAACAAUGCGAAAGAUUCAGGAUACCUUCGGGACCCGUCUUGAAACACGGACCAAGGAGUCUAACAUAUGUGCAAGUAAUUGGGAAUUAAAAAACCUAAUUGCGAAAUAAACAUAACUUGUUAAUGGGAUUAAUUUUUAUAGAAAUUUAUUUUUUAUAUUAAUUCAAUCCCGGGGCGUUCUAUAUAGUUAUGUAUAAUUAUAUUUAUAUA
This 787-nucleotide ribosomal RNA is filed under the name Sepsis sp. 'Isangi'. Its description in RNAcentral is "eukaryotic LSU rRNA". It matches the Rfam family "Eukaryotic large subunit ribosomal RNA", at positions 158 to 794 of the family's 3401-position model. The record is from RNAcentral. Lineage: Eukaryota; Metazoa; Arthropoda; Insecta; Diptera; Sepsidae.